Molecule: transfer RNA, 16 nt
Filed under: Gollania varians
Lineage: Eukaryota; Viridiplantae; Streptophyta; Bryopsida; Hypnales; Pylaisiaceae
Description: partial tRNA-Phe
Source: RNAcentral
AGAAAGGCCGGAAUAG